This 468-nucleotide ribosomal RNA is filed under the name uncultured bacterium. Its description in RNAcentral is "partial 16S ribosomal RNA". It matches the Rfam family "Bacterial small subunit ribosomal RNA", at positions 28 to 507 of the family's 1533-position model. The record is from RNAcentral.
GACGAACGCUGGCGGCGUGCUUAACACAUGCAAGUCGAACGGAAAGGCCCUGCUUUUGUGGGGUGCUCGAGUGGCGAACGGGUGAGUAACACGUGAGUAACCUGCCCUUGACUUUGGGAUAACUUCAGGAAACUGGGGCUAAUACCGGAUAGGAGCUCCUGCUGCAUGGUGGGGGUUGGAAAGUUUCGGCGGUUGGGGAUGGACUCGCGGCUUAUCAGCUUGUUGGUGGGGUAGUGGCUUACCAAGGCUUUGACGGGUAGCCGGCCUGAGAGGGUGACCGGCCACAUUGGGACGGAGAUACGGCCCAGACUCCUACGGGAGGCAGCGGUGGGGAAUAGAGCACAAUGGGCUGAAGCCUGAUGCAGCAACGCCGCGUGCGGGAUGACAGCCUUCGGGUUGUAAUCCGCUUUCGCCUGUGACGAAGCGUGAGUGACGGUAAUGGGUAAAGAAGCACCGGCUAACUACGUG